GAAGGCCACGGAAUGUGCCUGGGGGUCCAGUUUCUCCUCGAGUUGUCUCAGCUGGGCUCUGAGACUGGUGUUGCCCAGGUGACAGUCCUCGGGCUGCUCUUCCUUAGCCUGUGUGGGAGGAGAAUAUGCAAAUGAACAGGAGCCACCAAUGACAAGAGCAGCACAGUGUGCAGAAUAAAAAGAAGUCACUAAAGGUCAAAAGACAGAAGCAGUAGCUCCGGGCAGAAGACGCAGAAGGCUACCUCCUGUAGCCCCUAAGGAUGGAGGCCUACCUGAGCAACCAGGCUGUGGGGAGCCAAGGCUAGCCCACUGCUGACUCCGUCCUGUUCCAGUUCACCAUCUCGUUUACCCUGUGCCUCUGCAGGAGGGUCCGCACAGCCAACAGACGCUACACGAGGCUGAUGCUGGCCCAACUCCACCUGGCACCUGAGGAAACGCCGGUACAGCACGUGUAGCUGGUGGCUGAGGCGAGCGCACUGCACAAGCAGCUGCUGUAGCUUGGGUGGCUCAUCUGGGGUGGCAGAGGUCUGCUGCUCCACAGCGUGCUGGAAGUGGGCCAACGCCAAAAGGAGGGCCUCCAGCUCCACGGAAUGGCUAACUUUCCACUUGUUCACGGCAUCAAUUUCUAAGUCUCUCUGCACGAUGAUUGCUUCCUUGGCCUUCAGGGUAGCUUCAAACUCUUGGAUCCGAGAGGCCAUGGCUUCCACCUCAGCCUGUCUGAGGGCCACACAGUGUUCUAGCUCAGUCAGGUGUCUGGCAGCCGCCGCCUCUGCAUCCUGCAGCCGCUCCUGCAGUGCCUCCAGGGCCUGGCUGUGUCCAUGGUCUGCCAGAAGCUGGCCAAAGGCGCCCUUGGCUGCCUGUGCAGCUUGCAGCUCAUUGUGCAGGGCCUGGCCACCCAUGCCUUCCGCCUGGAGGCAGGACAGCUCCGUGUGGAGGCUGCCAGGCGGAAGGUCACUCAUUUCAUGCACCGUGGGCCCCAUGAGGCUCAGCUCACUCUGCAGCUUCUCGAUGACUUCAUGCAACUGCUCAAUUUCCUCUGCUUUGGCCUUCUGUAAUUGUUCCUGGUUUUCCUGCAAGUGUUCGAUAAUGGCUUUCAGCUCUUCGAUCUCAGAGUUCCUGCUGUUCACAACCUAAAGAGGAAGCACACGUCCUAAGGUGGUGAGACACGAGUCAGCCUGAGCGCCUCCCCUUUCCAGGACACAGAAGCCUGGAGGUCUGACUCCUGAAAAGAACAGAGACAGGGACAAACCAACAGUACCCCACCCCACCUCCGAUGCCUUUCUGUUUUGUAAAUCCAAACACUAUAAACGCACUACACCUGCUCUUCAGAGAGAGGACGCCUGCGAACCUCAGCAUAGCCCUGUGUCUAACCUCAGAAACUCCGACUUGAGCUUCUCUUCAGCCAAGGAUGCUUAUGGCCUUUUAGUCUUCUGUGCCUACUUGUGAGGCUGACACACCUCCGGCUGUACCAAUGAGACCCCUUACUGUUAUCCUUCUGACUGACUUCUUUCAUUUUCCUGCAGCAGUAAUUUAAGCUUCAGGUGUCACACUGGCCAGAGGCUGUGUGAUGAGCUGAGUGGCCCACAGCCACUGUUCCUCCAGCCACCGGAGUGAACACCGAAGUCACGGUGGAGGCUUGUACGACAUGAACCCCCUUCGCAGACAGAAAGAAUAUGCUCGUGGUGUGCCGUUUCACCUAGUCCCCAGGAACUUUAGAGGAACUCAGAUAUGAAAUAAACCUACAGAAACAGUUAGUGGGAACGUGGGAUUGUACCCAUCAAUACAGCCCAACUCUGUUCUCUUUGUAGCUGCUGUCACACGCAGUGACCAAAACCAGGGACAGUCUGACCGAUUCGAGUUCUAAACGUUGUCAAGUAAUGAACGUCUCAUAUUGUGCUUUCGAAAUACCCAGGGCCUGGAAACAACUAACCCUAACCCUAACCCUAACCCUAACCCUAACCCUAACCCUAACCCUAACCCUAACCCUACCCUAAGUCUUGCAAGCUCGACUUCCUAGUUCACACACAAAUACAAACCAGGCCCAUAAUAAAAACGAAAACUAGAAAGCCAGUGGGUGUGGUUAGGUACAACCUCUAAUCCCAGGACUUGGAAGGCAGGAGGCCAGCAUGGCUGACGUAGUGAGAACUGUCUUAAAAACCCAAACCAAACCAGACCAACCCAACCCAACCCAAAUCAAGUAGUUCCCCAACCACUCCUGCCCCCAGCUCGGUUUGAAUGGUAUCAGCCACACGCCAGUUCCCAGAAAUGUGUUCUACAGUUAACAGAAGGUACGUGAAACAAGACUCUCGGGGGCGCUUUGGAUGAGGAUGGCCCCCACAAUACAGGGUCCCCAGUUAGUAGAAAGGUUAGGGAAGGGUUAGAAGGUGUGACCUUGGUGGAGGUGGUGUGUCACUGGGGCGGGCUGUGAGGUUUUAAAAGCACAGGUCAUUCCCAGUAUGCUCUCUGCCCCCUGCUUGUGAAGCAAGAAGAAAACACUCAUCUAACACGCCAGCGCCAUGCCUGCCUGUUGCCAUGUUUCCUGCCACGAUGGCCAGGAACCCUAACCCUCUGAGACUGUGAGCCCCAAAUAAACGCCUUCUUUGUAAA
Non-coding RNA from Rattus norvegicus (Norway rat), 2607 nucleotides. Lineage: Eukaryota; Metazoa; Chordata; Mammalia; Rodentia; Muridae. The record is from RefSeq and is a predicted model, not a curated record.